UACUCAUAGCUCGCACAAGCUUGCCGACUUAGGAUUUUGCUUUGAAACCUCCUUUAGGACAGAGCUGAACUUAAGGGGACAUUAAGCUAUAGCCUAUCCCAGUACCUCUUUCAUUUCUCGCUUUGUUCCAGCUUCUGUACUAUUUCGUCUUUUUUUGUGUGCUUUCGGAGUUGUACGUCUACAGUGGCUCAUGUUGGACUUGCCUGUGCAUUACGGCUGGUGCAUUGCCGCCUGACAGUUUCCAGUUCGAGCGAAAUAUCACCCUAAGGACCGCCAGUGCUGAUGACAAGAAACAACUUCCCAUUUCGCCAUGGAUUUCAUUGGCCGCACCGCACACCGACCGAACAGCACGCCGACGCAGUCGUCUACGUCAGUGUCGUGUUUGUGGUCUUUGCCACCAUAGUUCUGCUGCUGCUGGCGACCACUUGCCGCACCGUGCCCUCGGCAAACAAGUCUCUCGCUGCUGAAGAGCAAUGCGAGGCGUCACAACCUCUACCGACGGUUGUGCACUUGAAGAACUCCGGAGUGGGCGUACGCAUGGAGACGUUCUCGGAAUCAAACAUCGUGUAACUGUGCCUUGGUGUCAGUGUUUCAGCGAGUUGGUUUAACAGCGUUAUUGCAGCAACGCUGACGCACAACAUAGAGUGACGACAAUAGGCAUGUCCCCGGUUCUCCAGUAAUGGGGUAGGAGACACGAGAUUCCCUGCAGCGCCUACGGCCACUAUUGCAGCGACACUUGAGUGGAGACACAAGAAAAAGAAUCUUCAGGAUUGGACGAAAGUUCUGGUCUAUGACCAUCAAGGGUAGAGGCGGGCCGUAAACAGGCAGCUCCUAGACCACACCAUGAGCGCUCCUCAGCCACCACUAUCGUCAAAAAACACGCAUGGUCAUAAGUCUGCCCAUUGAAAUGUGGCAGAACAGAACCACCUGGGCAAAGGUUUGCACAGCAGCUACAGCCCACCUGCACGCCUCUUCCCCAACUGUGCGGGCGCUUAUGGCAAUGACAAAGUUAUGGGAGAAUUUGUAUUCUUCUUGUCUGUCUUUCUUGGUUUCCGCUUUUGGAAGCUGUUGCUAGAAAAGCUUCUUUGUAACGUGCCUGACGUUAUUGAAGGACAUCAUGUGACCAGAUAGCUCGUAUAUGAUUUUCUACGCAAAGUUCAUAAACAACGGCAAACCGAAGAAAAGAUCCGUCCAAGUGACGUCUUUUUUAUUUGUAAGACACGAAAUAUCAGUUCGAACUUUUGUAAAAGACCAAAAACAAAUAAACCUUCUCCCGUCGAAACGUCCACGA
Rhipicephalus microplus (southern cattle tick) is the source of this 1291-nucleotide long non-coding RNA. The record is from RefSeq and is a predicted model, not a curated record. NCBI's taxonomy places the organism in Eukaryota, Metazoa, Arthropoda, Arachnida, Ixodida, Ixodidae.